This 72-nucleotide transfer RNA is filed under the name Pangasianodon hypophthalmus (striped catfish). RNAcentral describes it as "tRNA-Glu". It matches the Rfam family "tRNA". From Rfam's summary of the family: Transfer RNA (tRNA) molecules are approximately 80 nucleotides in length. Their secondary structure includes four short double-helical elements and three loops (D, anti-codon, and T loops). Further hydrogen bonds mediate the characteristic L-shaped molecular structure. tRNAs have two regions of fundamental functional importance: the anti-codon, which is responsible for specific mRNA codon recognition, and the 3' end, to which the tRNAs corresponding amino acid is attached (by aminoacyl-tRNA synthetases). tRNAs cope with the degeneracy of the genetic code in two manners: having more than one tRNA (with a specific anti-codon) for a particular amino acid; and 'wobble' base-pairing, i.e. permitting non-standard base-pairing at the 3rd anti-codon position. The record is from RNAcentral. Lineage: Eukaryota; Metazoa; Chordata; Actinopteri; Siluriformes; Pangasiidae.
UCCCUGGAGGACUAGUGGUUAGGCCUCUGUGCUCUCACCUCCGCUGCCUGGGUUUGAUUCCCGGCCAGGGAA